This 1175-nucleotide long non-coding RNA is filed under the name Anser brachyrhynchus (Pink-footed goose). RNAcentral describes it as "lncRNA (ENSABRG00000014386.1)". The record is from RNAcentral. Lineage: Eukaryota; Metazoa; Chordata; Aves; Anseriformes; Anatidae.
CUUCCUUUAUGAGAUCAUUGCUUUCAGUAUAGCAAUGAGUAGAGAGAGGUAUGUAAAGAUGUGAAAUGGAGAAAUGCAGAUUCUUCCAUUCUCUCCUAGUUUCUGUGAAAUGGACCCUGCGUAUGCAUAUACACACCUUGUUUUGCCUUCUUUGAAAUCCUAGUGGUGGCUGCAGGAACUGAUGUGCUGUAUGCUUUGGUGAAUGCUCUCCUGCGUAGUCCAGGGCCAGCGAGAAAAUGUGUUGUAGAGUAUUCACGACAGCUUCGAAGACUGUCAAUGUGUGAAGUUUCCACUGAAAUCCUAGGUUACAGGUGAAUAGGCAGCGUGUGCCCACUGUUGUGACGUUCCUCUUCCCUUCAUUGAUACUAACCAAUAUACAGAAGUAAUCUUGUCAGUAUUCUGCUAAUCACAUGGUCAUAACCAAUAGAGUUUAUGUCAGGUGUAUAGACAUCCUUCUUUCUGGUAGCUACCAAAAGCAAGAGAGCAAACAGAAAAUGACUCCAUAUGUUACUACACACUAACUGGACAGACAUGUUAAAGAAUGUCUCUGCAGUAGGAAGUCUGUUUUAGCUUGCUGAGUGAUUUUCAAGUCUCAGCAAUGACUAUUAGGAUCACCUGAAUUCACCAGCUGCAGAUGGCUUCAGAGAGUCUUUUAAGAUAAUCAAUGAAUUAGGAACAAACUUCAGUCCAGGUAAGAUCAAUGUGAUUUAUUUAUUUAUUUAUUUCCUUUCAAACCACCACUGAAAAUUUAGAUGCAAUGUAUUUAGAUUAAACACUUCUGAACCACAUGCUUGGUUAUUUCCAUUUAAGUCAACAGUGCUACUCAUAUGAGAAACUGAAUAGGUACCAGUUAUUUGUGGGCUACUGUUCUGCCUUUCUGAACGCUAACAGUCUGCAAACUACAAGCUGAGAAAGACCGCCUUGGAGGAAUUAAGAAGUGUAGAAAGACCCUUCACUGGAGAGCCAACUGGCAGACAGAAGGUUGAAAAUCAGUGAGCAAGACAGCAAUAGAAGAUAGUUUAUAGAUCAGCACAUAGUAUCAGUAACUUAGCCCUACGUGGCUUCUCCUUCCUGCCCUUGGACUGCUUUGUGAAGCCUUUCAUGGCUAGAUGCAGGUCGUUUGGUGAUCUCAGUUCCUCUUCUUUUAGCACUUCAACACAUAACAGCUCCAGGAA